Bombus terrestris (buff-tailed bumblebee) is the source of this 3006-nucleotide long non-coding RNA. RefSeq lists it as uncharacterized. The transcript has 2 exons. Lineage: Eukaryota; Metazoa; Arthropoda; Insecta; Hymenoptera; Apidae. The record is from RefSeq and is a predicted model, not a curated record.
UUCAUUUCAUUCUGUAUUUUCUUUUUGUCGGUUUCGCGCCAUUUCUUUACGUUUACCUACUCGUGAGCUUGCAGCUACGGCCUGGUGAUCGUUUACCAAAGGUAUUAAUCCGACUGAACUUGUUAGGACAUUCGUUAAACGUUCCUGUGUCUACGUGGCAAAAUGACCAACGACCAUACCAGCGGUUGCCACGCCGAAAACACACGUUUCGCUCAGGACGACACGGAGGUAUUUUUAUUAUUCGUAUAACGGCAAAAUAAUAAUGAAUUGAUGAUGUUCGAGCCGGCAGCUAGGUCGGUGCACCGCUCAGGAUGGCAACUAAGUGAGUGCCGGUGGUUCUUCAAACGUUCAAAGACCUUUGAACGCUGACUAGGUACUUUUAAUAGCUUUGAUUAUUUCAUUUCAGACAAAUUCUCUAGACUUGCCAUUAAUUCGCUACAAGCUUCUGCCACGGUGCCAUUUCCCAUCGGAUGUGACACGAUCGAUCGUCAUCUUCGUAUCGCAAACGUUGCGUAAUCGUUGAACACCCCUCUCGAACAAGGAAGCACACGUGAAAUUCAUAGUUAGAAUUCUCUCUAAUGCUUCUUAUCAAAUCUUUCUGAUAAGACUGUUAUUAAACAGAAAUCUUCCGUCCUAUGCACUCGCCACGAACUUUCAUCUGUGCAGGAAUUUUGGCCGAUUUUUCUCUGUUUUUCUUUCUCUCUUCUUUUUUAGUUUCCUAUUGUUUGUUGUUUUCGGAACACUUGAUUUGCCUAUACUCAGAACGGACCAUACUAUCCCAGGUAUUGAUCCUCCGCGCAUAGUUUCCUCUCGUUCAUUUGCUAGUAUGCGCUACGUGCUCAUGCAGGCGGAGUAUUUCCAAGACUCGUGUGGUUUUCCAAGGCACGACGCGCCGGAAAUUCGUCUGAUGGUCUUUUUCAAGAGCCACGGUUUUCGUAUUCCGUUCGCGAUGGCUUUACAGAGCAUUGUUGAUGAAAGAGACUUCUUGUUUAGAGAAUGCUCGAGAGGAGUUUCCAUUAAAGCGUAUCUAGUUCGAGAAACAUUUCCUGCGCACGAUUCUGUCACUCGACCCAAGUACUCCUUUUCUGUUACUGUCGUUACAUCUCUGCACCGUUCGACGAUGAUUCUUUUCUUCUUUUGCCUCCCACUCCGCGUCUCUUUCUAAUUCCGCCAGUUCAAAGACGGUACGAGCAUCAUUUACGAAGCUGUUGAUAAUCUCUUCGAGCUUCUCUCGUCUGCAGAGAGCCGGCGACUUUUUUGAUGUUAGAAACGAUCCCUCUUGCUUUAUGCAAGUCGAAGUGGAGUACGCGUAAUUAAAAGCUAAACGAAGGAAUAGAAAACAAUUGCUUUUAGUCGAUCCUAGUUGAACGAUAUGAAAAUAUCAGGCGAUUAAACACGAUGAUUAAAAACGCGCCUUUCUGUACAAGAUAUUUUAGCAAGAGCUGUAUUCUCGUAUAAUCUAGAAUUCAUUAAGGUAAAACAAUAGAUUCCACGAACGUCGAAGAUCAACUAUUAUAUGUACAAACAUUGACAACGAAAUUUGCCCGCAGAACAACGUCGAGGAUCGCGCGCGAUGAAGAACAGUCGAUGAAAAUCGCAAGCAGCCUCCGGUGACGUUCCCGCUAUACGCACCACCGCAUUAAUAUUUAUUGCUAGCCAGGUAGAAUUCGCUGUGGAAUCGUCUACCUUCCUUUACGCUGUUCGCAAUCGAAGCAAAUCGAGUUCAUCGAGCUUUGAAACCAUUAACGUGAAUAAAUGAGAAAAAGUGGGAAAAGAAGCUAACGAAACAGAAUGAAAAAGAAGAAAAUAAAUGGAAAAAUGGGAAAAGAAGAUGGAGGCACGCAUGGAAACUCGUUAUGGAAAUACUUGGCCCGUGGGCGUCCUCUUCAUCUGCAUAUCCCUCAACUUGAUGCGGCGAGAGCUCCGCCAAUCCCCACUGCCACUGGUUAAGUUGACCGUCACGAAAAUAGCACUCCCCCGUUCGACGAGAUCGUUGAUGCGACUUCUUUUCAGUACGCCGCUCUUCAUCGCGGAAUAGGAAGCUCCUCUUCAUCGCUCGCACGCCGCUCGUUUAUCACGGUUAAGGCAAUUUCGCGUCCAACGUCGAGCAAAACGCUCGGAACAACCUUCGUGAAGUUCGUUCCUCCAUUUUACUGUCAUUUUAUCAUCUUAUUAUUCGUUUUUAUUCGCCAGAUUCACCUCCGACGAAAUCCUGAUUCGGCUACUUUAUCGCGCGAUUGAAGCUUCGCUGCAACGUAGCUUGAGCAAGUUUGAUUAGUCUCGUUGAUGUAAUUGUAUCACGUAGAGAAAAACUGUAGUGUAAUUUGGUCGAAUGGUAGCUACCGAUCGAUGGUUUUAUGGACUUCUGUUUCAAAUGAACACGACAUUGUGUUUCACCUAUCGAGAAAGUUUGGACAGCCUUGCUGGAGUAAUUGUAUCGUACCAUCUCUUAAAACGAGUCGUAUCACUGUUAGGAAAUUCUGGCUGAAUAUUUUAAUCCUAUUGUUCUGACCAGGUAUCCGAAAUGAAUAUUACAUUUCGCUAGAUAUUAUUACGAUAUGAGCAGCUUGCAAAUAUAGGAUUUUGCGAUGCCACUCGUUACACGAAUAAAGUAGCAGACCUAAGAAAAGGACAUCGGAGGGGAGCGAAGAGACGAGGAGAAGAGCAGAGUUAAAUCGAGCGAAGGCAAACGUGGCAAAGAGCGUAAUAUAAAUCGUCAGCUUGGAAGUGACUGAGAGAAACGGGAAAACUAUACCCAGCGAUCGCUUGUAAUCAAUUCUUCGUGAAAAUAGAAGCCAGAUGAGCACCUAACGAUCGCCGAUUCUCCGUAAAACCGAGCCACAUUCUUCGCCAAUUACGAAACAUAACGGCGAGGGUUGUAAUUAGGAAACAUCGCCAGGCCGAGCUACGAGCACCAGGCACCCGACGUCUAAAAUUUCCCGGAAACUUUCAACCCGUCUGACGUAAACGUGUCUGUAGUGGCUCGUUUGUCACGACGUUACGAAG